RNAcentral lists this unclassified non-coding RNA (253 nucleotides) under uncultured Cryomorphaceae bacterium. RNAcentral's name for it is "contains 16S-23S intergenic spacer region". It matches the Rfam family "Bacterial small subunit ribosomal RNA", at positions 524 to 776 of the family's 1533-position model. The record is from RNAcentral. Lineage: Bacteria; Pseudomonadati; Bacteroidota; Flavobacteriia; Flavobacteriales; Cryomorphaceae.
UACGGAGGAUCCAAGCGUUAUCCGGAUUCAUUGGGUUUAAAGGGUCCGUAGGCGGAUUUUUAAGUCAGAGGUGAAAGCCUGCAGCUCAACUGUGGAACUGCCUUUGAUACUGGAGAUCUUGAGUGUGCGUGAAGUAGGCGGAAUAAGUCAUGUAGCGGUGAAAUGCAUAGAUAUGACUUAGAACACCGAUUGCGAAGGCAGCUUACUAAAGCACUACUGACGCUGAGGGACGAAAGCGUGGGGAGCGAACAGG